GCUGUGAUGGCCGAGAGGUUAAGGCUUGGACUUGAACUCCUUGCGCAGGGUCGUACCCUGCUCAAAACG
RNAcentral lists this transfer RNA (69 nucleotides) under Alosa alosa (allis shad). Its description in RNAcentral is "tRNA-Ser". It matches the Rfam family "tRNA". Rfam says of the family: Transfer RNA (tRNA) molecules are approximately 80 nucleotides in length. Their secondary structure includes four short double-helical elements and three loops (D, anti-codon, and T loops). Further hydrogen bonds mediate the characteristic L-shaped molecular structure. tRNAs have two regions of fundamental functional importance: the anti-codon, which is responsible for specific mRNA codon recognition, and the 3' end, to which the tRNAs corresponding amino acid is attached (by aminoacyl-tRNA synthetases). tRNAs cope with the degeneracy of the genetic code in two manners: having more than one tRNA (with a specific anti-codon) for a particular amino acid; and 'wobble' base-pairing, i.e. permitting non-standard base-pairing at the 3rd anti-codon position. The record is from RNAcentral. Lineage: Eukaryota; Metazoa; Chordata; Actinopteri; Clupeiformes; Clupeidae.